RNAcentral lists this ribosomal RNA (163 nucleotides) under Hordeum flexuosum. Its description in RNAcentral is "5.8S ribosomal RNA". It matches the Rfam family "5.8S ribosomal RNA". Rfam says of the family: 5.8S ribosomal RNA (5.8S rRNA) is a component of the large subunit of the eukaryotic ribosome. It is transcribed by RNA polymerase I as part of the 45S precursor that also contains 18S and 28S rRNA. The record is from RNAcentral. Lineage: Eukaryota; Viridiplantae; Streptophyta; Magnoliopsida; Poales; Poaceae.
CACACGACUCUCGGCAACGGAUAUCUCGGCUCUCGCAUCGAUGAAGAACGUAGCAAAAUGCGGUACCUGGUGUGAAUUGCAGAAUCCCGCGACCAUCGAGUUUUUGGAUGCAAGUUGCGCCCGAGACCAUCUGGUUGAGGGCAUGUCUGCCUGGGCAUCACGC